RNAcentral lists this long non-coding RNA (987 nucleotides) under Helianthus annuus (common sunflower). The record is from RNAcentral. Lineage: Eukaryota; Viridiplantae; Streptophyta; Magnoliopsida; Asterales; Asteraceae.
AGAGACAAGGGCAGGGGAAGAACCCUUCACCCAAAAAUCAUUCUAAUCUAUCAAAUUGAAGGGGUUGAAAGCUAAAUUCUAGGUGCAUGAGUUAGGAAUUAAGACCUCCUACGUAUGUUUGAUACCAAGCACGAAGAAAGAAGAAGGCACGAGCCAUUCAAAGUCUCAGGCAUCGCAAGAUCACGGUAAGUUCAUAUGAACUUUAUUUACUUUAAAUUUAUAUUUAUGAAUGGUAAUUUUGGUAUUUAAGCCUUAGUGUAAAGUCGCAUUGUUGAUCAUGAUUGAUAUCGAUACGUAGAGUCUUGAGAGAUGUUUAAGAAAUGAUGUAGUGACAGAUGUUUAAUGACCCGUUUUAAAUGGGUCGGAAAUGUUGAUUUGUAUGAUGUCAAAAUGGUUAAAGAAAGGACUCGUUGAUAACGGGUCAAAACGAGGAAAGUGAGUUAGUAAUGUAUGGUAAGAAUCGACCCAUUUCGGACGGGUCGAAAGGUCUAUGCUUGAAUGUUUUCGAUAUGUAAGGAUGAAUGAGUAUAAAGAAAAUUUACGCUUGCAAGGAAAGGAUGAUUACGACAAGAAUGUUGACAAAGUGAUGAAAUUGGUUAAUGGGUCGAAUAAUGAUAAGAAAAUAAAAGCUUAAAUUUUGUUUUAGUAAAUUGAACUGAUGAAUGUUUUGGUGUCAUGCAUGUUACGUAAAUCCCAUAUAUCACGAUGACGAGCUCGGAUCGAACACACUAAAUCGCCCUCUUUGCGCUUCCGGUUCAAGUUAUCUUUUUGUAAUGAGUCAAAAUAACUUUUGUGAUGUAAAUGUUAAUCUUAUGUCUAGGAUGUUCGUAAGUAGUUUGGAUUUUUAAAUCUUAUUUUGGGUAGUUCGGACAAAACACUUGUGAUCAAUCUUGUAUGGUCACAACUUUUAUAUCUUUUGAAAAGUGUCGUCGAAUUUAUUUUGAAUGAUGUUUGUUAAAAGCAGGGAAUCAUUUAUAGUACGAACGG